CAGGGAAGGGGCAGAGAGAGAGGGAGACACAGAAUCUGAAACAGGCUCCAGGCUCUGAGCUGUCAGCACAGAGCCCGACGCGGGGCUCGAACUCACGGACCAGGAGAUCAUGACCUGAGCGGAAGUCGGACGCUUAACCGACCGAGCCACCCAGGCGCCCCUGAUUAUAAUUCUUUGUAAUAGAAACUCCACUACAGAACCCCCAGAUUAUGAUCACUUUGAAAUUAGGACUCAGAAGAGGAUCCAGUGAAAAGGAAGCAUGUGGGGAAACGGAUUUAGAAACAAGCAGCAGCAGAACAACCCUGUGAGGUAAUAAUAUUAUGACCUCCAUUUUACAUUACCUCAGAAGGAACUCAAGCAAAGAGAAACUGAGUUGCUUAUCCAAGGUCAUACAGCAGCAAUAUAGAGCCACAAGCUGAAACCAGACAGGACGAAGGCAUCCUUAGCAGACAGACUCCAUGUGUCCAGAGCCAGGUAGACUUGCCAAUUCCAACAGAAAGCCGUCCUACUUUUUGGGAAAACAAUGGCUGAAGAACAACUAACUUCACAUUCAAAGAAGAUGCCGAGCUAAUUGAAUUUCUUGCAGUGAUAAUGACAGUUCUGUCUACAUCUCAACAAGUUCCAGAAAGAUAUUAAAACGUUUGAACUACUUUGGCUAACUCUGUUCUUCUGAAGGAAAGUAAAACCAAGCAGUUUAAUUCAGACAGGGAAUUUGAAAGACAAAGUGUAUCAGUUAUUAGGACUGCAUCUGGGAGGAAUGGCACACUUUCUCAUCCCUAAGCAUGGAGGGGGCUAAUUAAUUACCUGAUUUCUGAAGAGGUACCAAGUGUGCUUGCUGAUGCCCUAGGAGAAAGUUAAAAUGUAUGUGUGGUGGGCGGUGGGGGGGGGGGGGGGGGGAGGGGGAGAAGGGAGUAGGUAGAUCCAUAGUUUGUACAAAGAUCCUAAAGAUACUGCCUCACUCUGAAAGGAAGCUUUCUGGGAGAACUUCAACAGUGACCUGGCUACAGACCAGAUUUGUAAAUGACGUGAAAUUAGGGGGUAAAAUUACUCAUUAGAAAUAAUUAAUGAUCCUCCAAAUGCAAAUAGGUUAAAAGAAUUAGACUAAUUUAAUAGAAUAAAAAUUAAUAUAGAUACAUGUAAACUGUUGGAAACAAACUUCAAUAAAGCGUAACAUGAAUGGGGUGCCUGGGUGGCUCAGUCAGUUAGGCGUCCGAAUUCAGCUCAGGUCAUGUUCUCGUGGUUCAUGGGUUUGGUGCGUCAGGCUCUGUGCUGAUAGCGUGGAGCUUGGGAUUCUUGUUCUUUCCUCUUUCUCUGCCCUUCCCCUGCUUGCGCUUUCUCUCAUUCUCAAAAUAAAUAAACUUAAAAAAAAAUAAAAUAAAAAAUAAAGUGUAACAUGAAAAAACCUAA
Neofelis nebulosa (Clouded leopard) is the source of this 1407-nucleotide long non-coding RNA. RefSeq lists it as uncharacterized. The record is from RefSeq and is a predicted model, not a curated record. Lineage: Eukaryota; Metazoa; Chordata; Mammalia; Carnivora; Felidae. The transcript is spliced from 5 exons.